This 523-nucleotide ribosomal RNA is filed under the name uncultured bacterium. Its description in RNAcentral is "bacterial SSU rRNA". It matches the Rfam family "Bacterial small subunit ribosomal RNA", at positions 987 to 1509 of the family's 1533-position model. The record is from RNAcentral.
UCCAGUAGAACUUUCCAGAGAUGGAUUGGUGCCUUCGGGAACUCUGAGACAGGUGCUGCAUGGCUGUCGUCAGCUCGUGUUGUGAAAUGUUGGGUUAAGUCCCGNAACGAGCGCAACCCUUAUCCUUUGUUGCCAGCGGUUAGGCCGGGAACUCAAAGGAAACUGCCAGUGAUAAACUGGAGGAAGGUGGGGAUGACGUCAAGUCAUCAUGGCCCUUACGAGUAGGGCUACACACGUGCUACAAUGGCGCAUACAAAGAGAAGCGACCUCGCGAGAGCAAGCGGACCUCAUAAAGUGCGUCGUAGUCCGGAUUGGAGUCUGCAACUCGACUCCAUGAAGUCGGAAUCGCUAGUAAUCGUGGAUCAGAAUGCCACGGUAAAUACGUUCCCGGGCCUUGUACACACCGCCCGUCACACCAUGGGAGUGGGUUGCAAAAGAAGUAGGUAGCUUAACCUUCGGGAGGGCGCUUACCACUUCGUGAUUCAUGACUGGGGUGAAGUCGUAACAAGGUAAGCGUAGUGCU